UGAAAUAGCCAUGCUCCUGUCAGUUA
This 26-nucleotide non-coding RNA is filed under the name Homo sapiens (human). The record is from RNAcentral. Lineage: Eukaryota; Metazoa; Chordata; Mammalia; Primates; Hominidae.